Molecule: ribosomal RNA, 1052 nt
Filed under: marine metagenome
Description: bacterial SSU rRNA
Rfam family: Bacterial small subunit ribosomal RNA
Source: RNAcentral
AGAGUUUGAUCAUGGCUCAGAACGUACGCUGGCGGCACGCCUAACACAUGCAAGUCGAACGAAGUAGCAAUACUUAGUGGCAGACGGGUGAGUAACAUGUGGGUAUCUACCCUUUGGCCUGGAAUAACACGAGGAAACUUGUGCUAAUACCGGAUAAGUCUUUACGGAGAAAGCUUUAUGCACCAUUGGAUGAGCCCGCACUUGAUUAGUUUGUUGGUAGGGUAAUGGCCUACCAAGACUAUGAUCAAUAGCUGAUUUGAGAGGAUGAUCAGCCACAUUGGGACUGAGACACGGCCCAAACUCCUACGGGAGGCAGCAGUGGGGAAUCUUGCACAAUGGAGGAAACUCUGAUGCAGCGAUGCCGCGUGAGUGAAGAAGGCCUUUGGGUUGUAAAGCUCUUUCGUCGGGGAAGAAAAUGACUGUACCCGAAUAAGAAGGUCCGGCUAACUUCGUGCCAGCAGCCGCGGUAAUACGAAGGGACCUAGCGUAGUUCGGAAUUACUGGGCGUAAAGAGUAUGUAGGCGGCUAGAUAAGUUGGUGGUGAAAUCCCAGAGCUUAACUCUGGAACUGCCAUCAAAACUUUUCAGCUAGAGUAUGAUAGAGGAAAGCAGAAUUUCUAGUGUAGAGGUGAAAUUCGUAGAUAUUAGAAAGAAUACCAAUUGCGAAGGCAGCUUUCUGGAUCAUUACUGACACUGAGGAACGAAAGCAUGGGUAGCGAAGAGGAUUAGAUACCCUCGUAGUCCAUGCCGUAAACGAUGUGUGUUAGACGUUGGAAAUUUAUUUUCAGUGUCGCAGGGAAACCGAUAAACACACCGCCUGGGGAGUACGGCCGCAAGGUUAAAACUCAAAUGAAUUGACGGGGACCCGCACAAGUAGUGGAGCAUGUGGUUUAAUUCGAAGAUACGCGCAGAACCUUACCAACACUUGACAUGUUCGUCGCGACUCUAAGAGAUUAGAGUUUUCGGUUCGGCCGGACGAAACACAGGUGCUGCAUGGCUGUCGUCAGCUCGUGUCGUGAGAUGUUGGGUUAAGUCCCGCAACGAGCGCAACCC